GUGCGUAGGAAUAGAGUUCCAUCUGUGGAACUCUCUAAUGCAAACCAAUUAAAAUCUCCAAACAACCCUCUGAGAGACCCAAGAGCUGUAACAUCUUGGUAAAACACAGAAUGGCGAGGAAUCGCAGCCCAGGCACAACUCUGAGGAAAUCCUGUCUGGUUUUCAGUUGCCAUGGUACACCCAAUCUUGUCUGUCUCCAGCAGCAAAAGCACAGCCACCAACAGCUUUAAACAGUGUUGAGAGCACUCUGGUACCUCACAGAAGAGAGGAAGAGGAAUGGGAAUGCCUCAUUUCUAAAGUUUUGGGUAUGGCUGGAUAUCUUGGCAAUGAGCAAAGUAAAAGCCUUAUGACGGUAAUUUUGUUCUAAAGCUUUUCAACA
Long non-coding RNA from Centrocercus urophasianus (Greater sage-grouse), 379 nucleotides. RefSeq lists it as uncharacterized. The record is from RefSeq and is a predicted model, not a curated record. The transcript is spliced from 3 exons. NCBI's taxonomy places the organism in Eukaryota, Metazoa, Chordata, Aves, Galliformes, Phasianidae.